RNAcentral lists this ribosomal RNA (501 nucleotides) under uncultured bacterium. RNAcentral's name for it is "partial 16S ribosomal RNA". It matches the Rfam family "Bacterial small subunit ribosomal RNA", at positions 28 to 507 of the family's 1533-position model. The record is from RNAcentral.
GACGAACGCUGGCGGCGUGCCUAAUACAUGCAAGUCGAGCGGACCGGCUUGGGGCUUGCCUUGAUUCGGUCAGCGGCGGACGGGUGAGUAACACGUGGGCAACCUGCCCGCAAGACCGGGAUAACUCCGGGAAACCGGAGCUAAUACCGGAUAACACCGAAGACCGCAUGGUCUUCGGUUGAAAGGCGGCCUUUGGGCUUUCACUUGCGGAUGGGCCCGCGGCGCAUUAGCUAGUUGGUGAGGUAACGGCUCACCAAGGCGACGAUGCGUAGCCGGCCUGAGAGGGUGACCGGCCACACUGGGACUGAGACACGGCCCAGACUCCUACGGGAGGCAGCAGUAGGGAAUCUUCCGCAAUGGGCGAAAGCCUGACGGAGCGACGCCGCGUGAGCGAAGAAGGCCUUCGGGUCGUAAAGCUCUGUUGUGAGGGACGAAGGAGCGUCGUUCGAAGAGGGCGGCGCGGUGACGGUACCUCACGAGAAAGCCCCGGCUAACUACGUG